This is a small nucleolar RNA of Mangifera indica (mango), 107 nucleotides long. The record is from RefSeq and is a predicted model, not a curated record. NCBI's taxonomy places the organism in Eukaryota, Viridiplantae, Streptophyta, Magnoliopsida, Sapindales, Anacardiaceae.
AAACCACAAUAGGGGUACUACCUUCGUAAAUCCUUAAACCUCUCCCAAGUUUCAUAUAAAGACUCGUCAUCCUAUUGAUAAAAAGUGGCUAUCUUAUUUCUCAAUUU